GAGGAAUAUUGGUCAAUGGGCGCGAGCCUGAACCAGCCAAGUAGCGUGCAGGAUGACGGCCCUAUGGGUUGUAAACUGCUUUUGUAUGGGGAUAAAGUCAAUCACGUGUGAUUGUUUGCAGGUACCAUACGAAUAAGGACCGGCUAAUUCCGUGCCAGCAGCCGCGGUAAUACGGAAGGUCCGGGCGUUAUCCGGAUUUAUUGGGUUCAAAGGGAGCGUAGGCCGGAGAUUAAGUGUGUUGUGAAAUGUAGACGCUCAACGUCUGACUUGCAGCGCAUACUGGUUUCCUUGAGUACGCACAACGUUGGCGGAAUUCGUCGUGUAGCGGUGAAAUGCUUAGAUAUGACGAAGAACUCCGAUUGCGAAGGCAGCUGACGGGAGCGCAACUGACGCUUAAGCUCGAAGGUGCGGGUAUCGAACAGGAUUAGAUACCCUGGUAGUCCGCACAGUAAACGAUGGAUGCCCGCUGUUGGUACCUGGUAUCAGCGGCUAAGCGAAAGCAUUAAGCAUCCCACCUGGGGAGUACGCCGGCAACGGUG
RNAcentral lists this ribosomal RNA (539 nucleotides) under uncultured bacterium. RNAcentral describes it as "bacterial SSU rRNA". It matches the Rfam family "Bacterial small subunit ribosomal RNA", at positions 356 to 896 of the family's 1533-position model. The record is from RNAcentral.